AUUCAUGUUUACCUUUUUGAAUCACCCUGUUCCCUUGCUCCCUAGGUGUCAGCAGACUAGAGGAGAUAUUGUGAAAUAUUUCCCAAGCCAAGUGGAGCAGAGAGGAAAGGUGGAGAAGUUCACAAAAAAUUUUGGAUUACAUUUCUCACUGGAGCUAAACUGCUGAUCUUGCCAUUGCAGUUGAAGAAGCAAAUCUUCAAGGAUUUAUGUGGUGUUUUGGCAAGCUAAGAACCUCUUGUCUUCCAGAGGAGUGCUGUAUGAGAGUGUUUAGGUCACUUAGCAAAGCGUGGCAUGUCCCCUGCUGCUCCUGCUGCAUGAAAGAGGUGACAUGCUCCUACUGAGCCUGUUGUUACAGCAUUAAUGCUGUGACUCAAAAUGGAAGACUCUCAAUGCAGCAAUUCCCUCAGUAGUGAAGGUUAAACUCGUUGCAUGUGGGCCAGGCUUGAAUCAGCAGGCCCAGCUAGGCCAUGCUUGCACCAGCAGGCCCAGCUGGGCAAGGUUUGCUCCUGCAGGACACAGCAGAUGUGUCUCCACCAGUGAACCCAAGAAUACCAGCCCCAAAGGCAGCAGCUUUCAGGCCUUUCCUGUCCUGUAGGCCAGGAGAGGCAAGACGAGCUUUCCUAUACCAGCUGGUGGUAGGGCCUGGAUCACUCCCAAAACACAUCAGAUCACCAAGGAUAAAAGUAACCAAGGAGUGCAGAGUGCUGCCAGUUCCUUAAGUCAAGAUCAUUAGUGGUCUACAAUGGAUGAGCUAUUCUGCUCAUGACAUGUCACCAGGUGUAAGUCACUGGACAAGAGAGAAUCUGCUCCUAAAGCCCAGCCUUUCAAGGACAGGAGGCUUCAAUUUGGACUAGCUCCACUCCAUGCCUGAGGACUGAACGCUCCUUGGCUGCUGGAGAGCAUGAAGUGCAUUCCUGACCCACAGCUUGCCAAGCCAUGCCCAGCAUUUACGCAGAGGACGGCUCAUCGCCAGGGCUAUAUUAGGGCUGCUAUGAUAUAUGAAGGCUGAGGCAGCAUUUUGUGCUGUCUCCGGUGUGGUAUUUACUUUUUUUUUCUUCUUUUUUUCUUUUGUUGCAUUUCUGUUGAUUUUGCUUCUUGUGUUUCUUGAUGGGCUGUGUCAGCUGCCAUAAUCAUUUGUAAUUUGGAGGAGGAGGGAGCUCCUGGGAAACCGUGACCUGUGGGGUGGGCACCCAGGAAUGUCCUGCAGGUCAGUGGGCUGAGCAAUACUCCCAUGCUAUGGCAAGCAAAGGCCAGGAGUUUUCCUCAUGAAACCCAGAAGAGACUGUUUUAGCUGUGAGAAACAUCUGCUUCUGCUUUAUGCUGAUGAGUACUGUACAGAAAAGGGUUCCUGAGUCUCGUCUUUUUCAAUGUUUUUUGUUGUUGUUGUUGUUGAACUGCAACCUCAGCUACCUACGUAUAAAUGAAAAAUGCCCAAGUCUGCCUAUCCAGUAAAUAAAUAACCAAUAAAAUUGAAACCAACCUUGAUAUACACAAGACCAACCAUGGAAGGUUUCUCUGUAAAGCAUACACGCUGUCAUAACUUCAGGCUAAACAAGUCUGAACCAAGAAGUGUUUUGUCCCAGGUCUGUAUAUUUUAUGGGAAGCUGAUGCUUAUUUUCCAUGGGAAACUAAUUUUUCCAAAGGACAGUUUCAGCUUGGCGGCUCAGCACAGCGCCGCUGUGACAAGCUGCUCUUUUAGCAGUGCUGACAGAUUUUUGAGAAAUAUUUAUUUUUUCAGCUAAGUCAUGAGGCCAGUGACAGGUACAUUCUGGAAUGAAGCUGAAUGCAGGGAAGCAUGCAAGAAAAUAUGGAAGUUGGAGCACAACUUUUUCACUGACUUAGCCAGAUAGGACACAGGUUGAAGCCACAUUUGUGUAGCUCUCAGCAAAAAUGCAUUAAUUAUGGAGUAGUUUAAGUUUGUUCACCAAAUUAAAGAACCUGAAUGGAAGAUUUUGUCAAGUAGACUCAAAAGAUUUUUUUUUUCUUCUUUUUGCCAGUAUGUAAAAUAUAAAUCAUUUUGCUUUAACCUGCAUUUUGGUGCUUGAAAAAAAAAUCAAGUGAAAAAUGCAUUCUAGUUCCAACCGUGACCUCGAUAAGAAAGAAGUUUGAUGCCAGUGAAAAAAAAUGUUUCUGUUUAGCUCUUACCCCAUAACUCUUCUGAAGUCUUACUGCAUCUAGAGGAAUCAUCAAACGGAACACAAUCCAAAUGGCAUAAACACAGUUUUCUCUAAAUUAAAUGUCUUCUAGAACUAGAGUUUUUUCAAAAUAUCAUUCUAUCAAAUAAAAAAUUAGACAUCUGAGCUUGGACAGCUACUCAAA
Molecule: non-coding RNA, 2319 nt
Organism: Anas platyrhynchos (mallard)
Lineage: Eukaryota; Metazoa; Chordata; Aves; Anseriformes; Anatidae
Source: RefSeq, a predicted model, not a curated record